Arachis stenosperma is the source of this 107-nucleotide small nucleolar RNA. NCBI's taxonomy places the organism in Eukaryota, Viridiplantae, Streptophyta, Magnoliopsida, Fabales, Fabaceae. The record is from RefSeq and is a predicted model, not a curated record.
AUCCGGUUGUGAGGGGAAGCCUCUAGCAACUUCUUGAAUCUCUCCCAAUAUUCAUACAAAGUCUCCCCAUCUUGUUGCACAAUGCAAGAGAUCUUUCUUCGUAGCUU